Molecule: long non-coding RNA, 337 nt
Organism: Odocoileus virginianus texanus
Lineage: Eukaryota; Metazoa; Chordata; Mammalia; Artiodactyla; Cervidae
Source: RefSeq, a predicted model, not a curated record
CCACAGGUGCUGAGCAUCCCUGCACGCUCUUGCUGGGUUCGGAAGAGCAUAAGGCCUGACCACUCUUUACCAGGCCGUUUCUCAGGGCUGAGUCUGCGGUAAGCAACCUUGAGAGAUGAGCCUCCAACAGAGAGCACCCAGUAUUAUGAACAAGGAAAACAUUCAUCUUGAAACAAGAUAAGGGGAUGGUGAACUUAAAAGGAAACAAAUGCCAACUGGAACUUAAGUUUUCUCUCCUUUUUAUGGAUAAAGUACCUCUUGGAAAUAAGUACUUUUAUAUUGUCAGUAUGACUGUAUAAAGUUAUUUUUCUUUCAUUAAAAUAUAAUACCUAUUUCA